CCAAUAGCGUAUAUUAAAGUUGUUGCAGUUAAAAAGCUCGUAGUUGAAUUUCGGGAUCAGUACGUUGGUCGUGCCUUGGUAUGUACUGGCGUCACUGAUUCCUACCUUCUGAAGAACCGUCAUGCCAUUAAUUUGGUGUGGCGGGGAAUCAGGACUGUUACUUUGAAAAAAUUAGAGUGUUUAAAGCAGGCUCGCGCUUGAAUACAUUAGCAUGGAAUAAUGAAAUAGGACGUUAAUCCUAUUUUGUUGGUUUCUAGGAUCGACGUAAUGAUUAAUAGGGAUAGUUGGGGGCAUUAGUAUUCAAUUGUCAGAGGUGAAAUUCUUGGAUUUAUUGAAGACUAACUACUGCGAAAGCAUUUGCCAAGGAUGUUUUCAUUAAUCAAGAACGAAAGUUAGGGGAUCGAAGACGAUCAGAUACCGUCGUAGUCUUAACCAUAAACUAUGCCGACUAGGGAUCGGAUGAUGUUAAUUUUUUAAUGACUCAUUCGGCGCCUUACG
RNAcentral lists this ribosomal RNA (498 nucleotides) under uncultured Glomeromycotina. RNAcentral describes it as "partial small subunit ribosomal RNA". It matches the Rfam family "Eukaryotic small subunit ribosomal RNA", at positions 591 to 1092 of the family's 1831-position model. Lineage: Eukaryota; Fungi; Glomeromycota. The record is from RNAcentral.